This 72-nucleotide transfer RNA is filed under the name Flammulina velutipes. RNAcentral's name for it is "tRNA-Arg". It matches the Rfam family "tRNA". From Rfam's summary of the family: Transfer RNA (tRNA) molecules are approximately 80 nucleotides in length. Their secondary structure includes four short double-helical elements and three loops (D, anti-codon, and T loops). The record is from RNAcentral. Lineage: Eukaryota; Fungi; Basidiomycota; Agaricomycetes; Agaricales; Physalacriaceae.
GCAUUCUUAAUUUAAUGGUUAAAAUAGUAGAUUUCGGACCUUCAAAUAUUGGUUCAAUUCCAAUAGAAUGUU